UUUAUUUCUUAGAACACUCCUGAUAUCAUGACUCUGGAAUAACUGCGCCACCUCCUCCCCAGAUGGGGCUGAAGACAAGCCCCGUGGUAGGUCACUCCCUGCCCCUCACCUCCAUCCUGCCCCUGCCCCCCCAGGUGGAAUUCUCCAUCCAAAAGAGCACUGCCCGAGGGUCAGGAGGUGGCGACUGGCCCCUCUGGUCUUCCUGAGCCUCAGCAACAAUCCAUGGAGUCGUCUCUGUCAUGGCAGCCUGUCCUGGCAGGCCCCUUGGGCAGGGGAGUGUCCAGCAUCAGUCAGAAUGUCCAAAGGACUCAGUGGAGACCAUUUCAACCGGGAGAAUGUUCGUGCCUGUUUGGUGGAGCCUGGGGAAGAGAAGAAGAAGAAAAGACUCAGCAACAGAGAAAAAGAAGAUGUUGCACGCCAAAGAGCUGAUGGCACUCGCGUACAAGCAAAGCUAACAAGUUCGUUGCAAAUAGGACUUUAAUCUCUGAACCCAAAGUGGGGGUAAGUGGUCUUAUGACUGGGCGUAUACGUGGAGACUAGGUCUUAAACCUGACUGUCCCAGAAAUGAUAGGACAGCCGUUUCUCAGCUGUGGGCAGUUUUGCCCUCCCCAGCCCCCCGCCUCCAACCAGGGAGAAUUGGCAGUGGAGACGGUUUUUACUGUCAUGACUUGGGGAGGUUGAAGGGGGAGGGAGAAACCCUGAGGACAGGUUAUAUAACUGGAACUCCCAUUGUAACCAUCCUGGCUUACUUUAAUCCACCGGCAGGUUAAAAAUGUCCCCCCUUUCCUAAAUUAUGACUGCAUUUCUCACUAAAGACUGAAUGACUCUUCUCUCUCUCACUCUCUUUGGCCUCCUCCCAUGUGAUGGGAUCUUAGUUCCCUGACAGGGAUCGAACCUGUGCCCCCUGCAUUGGGAGCACUGAAUCCUAACCACUGGGCUGCCGGAGAAGUCCGGCCUCUUCUCUUAAUAGAACAUUUCUCUCUACAAACGCUCC
Molecule: long non-coding RNA, 994 nt
Filed under: Capra hircus (goat)
Lineage: Eukaryota; Metazoa; Chordata; Mammalia; Artiodactyla; Bovidae
Description: lncRNA (ENSCHIG00000005631.1)
Source: RNAcentral